UCUGGAUCUUUAGUGAACUUUGUGUGAUGACAAAACAAACUUCUUUAUGAUAUGCAGCUGAGACAUGGGGGUUGUUUGUUACCUCACUAUAACUGAAGUUAUCCUGACUAAUGGAAGUUAAUAGCAUAGAAACACAUCUGGAUGGAAUGGAUCCAGAGGGAAACCAACCAGAGAAAGGGAUCCUUAGAGCAUUGUUUCCAGUAUUUUGGACACACAUUCACAAUAAGAAAGGUGGGAGCUUGACACCUGCAUAAAACCUAAGAAUUUGGUCUAUGGGUACUGCCAUGACUAAUGAAGCAACUCCUGAUUCCACAAGAUACCCAAUUCGGAAAAAAAGUCUCAGCAGGCCAGGAAAAACAGUUAGAGGCGAGGGCAAAUGAUCUUUAAGAGCAGUUAGCAGUAUAGGAGAGAGUAAAGGGAUAGAAGAGGAAGUCAUUCCUAAGAUUAAGUCAAUCCACUUCCCUUACCAUGCAUUUUGGCCAGCACUGUCAGAAGCCAUGGAAAGAGGAUAAACCGUGAAAAAUGCUCAACUCCACAAUACUAAAAAAAAGCAUGGAAU
Leopardus geoffroyi (Geoffroy's cat) is the source of this 559-nucleotide long non-coding RNA. RefSeq lists it as uncharacterized. The transcript has 4 exons. NCBI's taxonomy places the organism in Eukaryota, Metazoa, Chordata, Mammalia, Carnivora, Felidae. The record is from RefSeq and is a predicted model, not a curated record.